This 447-nucleotide ribosomal RNA is filed under the name uncultured bacterium. RNAcentral describes it as "bacterial SSU rRNA". It matches the Rfam family "Bacterial small subunit ribosomal RNA", at positions 330 to 793 of the family's 1533-position model. The record is from RNAcentral.
ACCAGACUCCUACGGGAGGCAGCAGUGGGGGAUAUUGCACAAUGGGGGAAACCCUGAUGCAGCGACGCCGCGUGGGUGAAGAAGUAUUUCGGUAUGUAAAGCCCUAUCAGCAGGGAAGAAAGAAGACGGUACCUGACUAAGAAGCCCCGGCUAACUACGUGCCAGCAGCCGCGGUAAUACGUAGGGGGCGAGCGUUAUCCGGAUUCACUGGGUGUAAAGGGAGCGUAGACGGCCGUGCAAGCCAGGAGUGAAAGCCCGGGGCCCAACCCCGGGACUGCUCUUGGAACUGUGCGGCUGGAGUGCGGGAGGGGCAGGCGGAAUUCCUGGUGUAGCGGUGAAAUGCGUAGAUAUUAGGAGGAACACCAGUGGCGAAGGCGGCUUACUGGACAGUAACUGACGUUGAGGCUCGAAAGCGUGGGGAGCAAACAGGAUUAGAUACCCCGGUAA